CGAGAACGCUGGGACCUGCUGCAGCUAUGCUUAGCCGCUGAUGACCAAAGAUAUUUUACAAACUAGAGUUUCUGAUG
This 77-nucleotide small nuclear RNA is filed under the name Eremothecium gossypii FDAG1. RNAcentral describes it as "FAgSNR78". The record is from RNAcentral. Lineage: Eukaryota; Fungi; Ascomycota; Saccharomycetes; Saccharomycetales; Saccharomycetaceae.